Poecilia latipinna (sailfin molly) is the source of this 1821-nucleotide long non-coding RNA. RefSeq lists it as uncharacterized. The record is from RefSeq and is a predicted model, not a curated record. NCBI's taxonomy places the organism in Eukaryota, Metazoa, Chordata, Actinopteri, Cyprinodontiformes, Poeciliidae. The transcript is spliced from 5 exons.
UUCAUUUCACGUUUAAUGGCGGACCGGAAGUGACUUGACGGCGUUUGUUCCGCCGUCUGCUGCAGCAAGUGAGCUAAAUUAACCUUAAAACUUAUUCUUUCUUGCGUUAUUGAGUAUUGCGUAACGUAGUGUUUUGAGUUGAAGCUAUGCUUCUGUUCAGAGUUAUUGAUUCACCUGCUCUUCAGCUGGGAACUCAACAAACUUUGAAAUACCCUCUGCAGCGGCAUUACGAGUACAAAGCAUGGAAAAAGCCUCCAGUUAAAGGAGCACAAGAUAGGCUCCUCUGAUAUUCUAACCUUGGAUAAAUCUGUAAGAAGAGACCAGCAGAGGACAAAGGCACGGCUUAUCAUCUUCAUCAUUGUUCAGAACCGAUUAGCGCUGAGGUCUGAAGCAGAAGAGGCAGAAAGGCUGGAGAAGGAUGGAGUGAUCGGAAACGCAGCAGAGAGCAGAAGCUGUGGGGCUCCACGCGGCCAUGACCACGGGGCAAAUGUGCAACAGAUGCUCGGGGCGUGCGUCACGUUGGAGUGCUGUACAGCCGAUCUGGUUCCAAUUCUCUCACUCUUCAUAUCAAGUGCUUUAAAAGAGGUCUAAACACUAAGGUCAUUUUCUGUGGAUACAAGAGGCAUGCAGCAGUGAUAAAAGCCACCAUAUGUACCUAGCCACUCACUCAGGAGGUAAACCUAGUGGCGACAAUGUGCCGCUGUAAAAUGAAGUUAAACUGUGAAACAGUGAGAAAAAUAAAAGCAUUGAUGCAGACUGUGAGGCUGGGGGAUCAGAGAGUCCAUUGGGUCCUCUGCUGUCAACAGAGCAGGCUUCGCUCCAUCAUAUCAGUGGGAAACAACGGAGCAUCACGCAAGAUCCGCCACACAUAGGUCACACGAGCAGAGCUGGGGAGGAACAAAGAUGCUGCCUGCUGUUCCUGGAUCGGAACAAACUGAACUUGAUGUGAUCAUUUCAGCAGCGGGAGCUCUGGAGCGUGCAGAUUUGAUUCUUCUGUCAAAUUGUUCACAGGCUGCAGCAGGAUUUCAGGAUAGCAAAGUGUACUGGUCGGGAUUAUCUUGACUUAAAUUGUGAUGUAAAACUGAAACAAACUCUUCCUUUUCUAUUUCAUAAAGCUGUCAAAGUGGGGUCAUUUUAUUAGAAAUAUAAACUGCUCAAGGAUAACUGCCUCAUACCAAGAAGGUCCAGAGUUAAAAUCUUUCUGUUAAACUCUUUAGUGGUGGGAGGGGAUGUGAAAUUAAACCUUAAAAACAAGCCUUGUAGAUCUUAAGGGCCUGGCAAGUUUGAAAUGUAGUUCUUAACAAUUCUGCAACAGCAACGAAAGCUACUGAUCCGAAGGUUCUCUAGUUUUAAUGUGAGUGUUGUGGUUUUUAACCAGGUUGUAAGAUGUUAUGUGGGAAAAGAUUAGAGCGUGAAGUGAGCAGAAGUCUUUAGCCGGCCCCCUGCUGUCUGCAUGCAUUCGCUGAGAUUUACACAGUAAUGUGUCCGUACAGCAUCAUAACUGCAGACACUGUAACAGCAGCAGGUUGCCUGCUAAUGGGAUGCAUGUACGAUACAGCGUCAUCAGCAUGAAAUUUCAUGUUGACAUCAGAAUAAAUUUGUUCUCAGGUUAUGAAAUGGAAAAUGAAUAACACUGGUCCAAGUAUAGAGCCUUAUUUAACUCCUGUGCAGAAAUGGUAUCUCACGGUGUGCUUUCAUUGUUUAAACUAAGGAGUAAUAUCUCCAUCUAAGUAGAUUUCUAGAGCUGUUCAAGGUCUGAAUGUGUUUGUAUUUAGUGCAAAUUUAGAUGUCUUUAAAACAAAAAAUAAACAGGAAGCUAAG